AUGAUGAACACAAAGGGAAAGAGGAGAGGCACCCGAUACGUGUUCUCUAGGCCUUUUAGAAAGCAUGGAGUUGUUCCUUUGGCCACCUAUAUGCAAAUCUGUAAGAAAGGUGAUAUUGUAGACAUCAAGGGAAUGGGUACUGUUCAAAAGGAAUGCCCCACAAGUGUUACCACUGCAAAACUGGAAGGGUCUACAAUGUUACCCAGCAUGCUGUUGGCAUUGUUGUAAACAAAAAAGUUAAGGGCAAGAUUCUUGCCAACAGAAUUAAUAUGCAUAUUCAGCACGUUAAGCACGCUAAGAGCCGAGAUAGCUUCCUAAAGGAAGCUAUCAGAAAAUGGAAAGUUAUCAGAAAAAGAAGGAAAAUGAUCAGAAAAAGAAAGAAGCCAAAGAGAAAGGUACCUGGGUUCAACUGAAGCGCCAGCCUGCUCCACCCAGAGAAGCAUAUUUUGUGAGAACCAGUGGGAAGGAGCCUGAGCUGCUGGAACCUAUUCCCUAUGAAUUCAUGGCAUAA
RNAcentral lists this long non-coding RNA (511 nucleotides) under Homo sapiens (human). RNAcentral describes it as "non-protein coding lnc-BORCS5-6:1". Lineage: Eukaryota; Metazoa; Chordata; Mammalia; Primates; Hominidae. The record is from RNAcentral.